RNAcentral lists this ribosomal RNA (429 nucleotides) under uncultured Enterobacter sp. Its description in RNAcentral is "bacterial SSU rRNA". It matches the Rfam family "Bacterial small subunit ribosomal RNA", at positions 1070 to 1499 of the family's 1533-position model. Lineage: Bacteria; Pseudomonadati; Pseudomonadota; Gammaproteobacteria; Enterobacterales; Enterobacteriaceae. The record is from RNAcentral.
AAAUGUUGGGUUAAGUCCCGCAACGAGCGCAACCCUUAUCCUUUGUUGCCAGCGGUUAGGCCGGGAACUCAAAGGAGACUGCCAGUGAUAAACUGGAGGAAGGUGGGGAUGACGUCAAGUCAUCAUGGCCCUUACGAGUAGGGCUACACACGUGCUACGAUGGCGCAAACAAAGAGAAGCGACCUCGCGAGAGCAAGCGGACCUCAUAAAGUGCGUCGUAGUCCGGAUUGGAGUCUGCAACUCGACUCCAUGAAGUCGGAAUCGCUAGUAAUCGUAGAUCAGAAUGCUACGGUGAAUACGUUCCCGGGCCUUGUACACACCGCCCGUCACACCAUGGGAGUGGGUUGCAAAAGAAGUAGGUAGCUUAACCUUCGGGAGGGCGCUUACCACUUUGUGAUUCAUGACUGGGGUGAAGUCGUAACAGGGUAA